This 460-nucleotide ribosomal RNA is filed under the name uncultured bacterium. Its description in RNAcentral is "partial 16S ribosomal RNA". It matches the Rfam family "Bacterial small subunit ribosomal RNA", at positions 338 to 795 of the family's 1533-position model. The record is from RNAcentral.
CCUACGGGAGGCAGCAGUGAGGAAUAUUGGUCAAUGGGCGCGAGCCUGAACCAGCCAAGUAGCGUGAAGGAUGACUGCCCUACGGGUUGUAAACUUCUUUUAUAAAGGAAUAAAGUGAGGCACGUGUGCCUUUUUGUAUGUACUUUAUGAAUAAGGAUCGGCUAACUCCGUGCCAGCAGCCGCGGUAAUACGGAGGAUCCGAGCGUUAUCCGGAUUUAUUGGGUUGAAAGGGAGCGUAGACGGGUUGUUAAGUCAGUUGUGAAAGGUCGCGGCUCAACCGGAAAAUUGCAAUUGAGACUGGCAGCCUUGAGUCCAGUAGAGGUGGGCAGAAUUCGUGGUGUAGCGGUGAAAUGCUUAGAUAUCACGAAGAAUACCGAUUGCGAAGGCAGCCUACUAAACUGCCACUGACAUUGAUGCUCGAAAGUGUGGGUAGCAAACAGGAUUAGAUACCCUUGUAGUC